Octopus sinensis (East Asian common octopus) is the source of this 401-nucleotide long non-coding RNA. RefSeq lists it as uncharacterized. The record is from RefSeq and is a predicted model, not a curated record. NCBI's taxonomy places the organism in Eukaryota, Metazoa, Mollusca, Cephalopoda, Octopoda, Octopodidae. The transcript has 2 exons.
UGUGUGUGCGUAUGUGUAUAUAUAUAUAUAUAUAUAUAUAUAUAUAUAUAUAUCUUGGGGUAUAAGACCCCAAGCUAUUUUGUGCCUUGCCAAGACAUCUGGAGUAAGGUUUGAUGUUUUAAAGGAUCAACUUGAUCUCCUGGUAUCCAAGGUCCCCGACGAACCUAUAUCACGGCAAGAAAUCCAAAAGAGGGCAGCUGUAUCGAACUCUCUCCUUCACCAAACGCCAGUCACGUAAGGUUGGACAUUGAAAAGAUAACUACGCUGGCGAUGCUCCUGCAUGGCCACAUGCUUAAGACUGAAACGUAUAAAAGAAUAAAAGAUUAUAUAUAGUAAGCUAUUGUACUCAUAUUAUACAUCUCUGUAUUAUUAGCAAAUAAAACCGUUUUUGUUUUUAUGUC